This 468-nucleotide ribosomal RNA is filed under the name uncultured bacterium. RNAcentral's name for it is "partial 16S ribosomal RNA". It matches the Rfam family "Bacterial small subunit ribosomal RNA", at positions 28 to 507 of the family's 1533-position model. The record is from RNAcentral.
GACGAACGCUGGCGGCGUGCUUAACACAUGCGAGUCGAACGGAAAGGCCCUGCUUUUGUGGGGUGCUCGAGUGGCGAACGGGUGAGUAACACGUGAGUAACCUGCCCUUGACUUUGGGAUAACUUCAGGAAACUGGGGCUAAUACCGGAUAGGAGCUCCUGCUGCAUGGUGGGGGUUGGAAAGUUUCGGCGGUUGGGGAUGGACUCGCGGCUUAUCAGCUUGUUGGUGGGGUAGUGGCUUACCAAGGCUUUGACGGGUAGCCGGCCUGAGAGGGUGACCGGCCACAUUGGGACUGAGGUACGGCCCAGACUCCUACGGGAGGCAGCAGUGGGGAAUAUUGCACAAUGGGCGGAAGCCUGAUGCAGCAACGCCGCGUGCGGGAUGACGGCCUUCGGGUUGUAAACCGCUUUCGCCUGUGACGAAGCGUGAGUGACGGUAAUGGGUAAAGAAGCACCGGCUAACUACGUG